AACUUCUCAACCACAUCAUCGCGAUGUGGCUUGGAUGGUGGGGGUUUUUGCAGGCCCUUUCUUGUCUGUCUGCUCCCCUGAAAUGCAUUAGCGGUAUCUGAGCUGCUGCUGUAGGCGUGAUAAAUCUAUCUAUGCCUUUGGUAUGCUGCAUGAACAGAUUGCGCCGCUUCCAAUGAUGUAAAAUAACCUGACGA
This 194-nucleotide unclassified non-coding RNA is filed under the name uncultured Inocybe. RNAcentral describes it as "sequence contains ITS2". The record is from RNAcentral. Lineage: Eukaryota; Fungi; Basidiomycota; Agaricomycetes; Agaricales; Cortinariaceae.